This is a small nucleolar RNA of Onychostoma macrolepis, 69 nucleotides long. RefSeq annotates it as small nucleolar RNA SNORD58. The transcript has a single exon. The record is from RefSeq and is a predicted model, not a curated record. Lineage: Eukaryota; Metazoa; Chordata; Actinopteri; Cypriniformes; Cyprinidae.
CUGCAAUGAUGACUAACUUAGGACACCUUUGAUGUAUUCAUGAAGAGAAUUAAGUACCUUCUGAGUAGC